GAUGGCCACGCGCGUGGAGCACCGGCUUCAGUUCCACCGGCGCGGCCAUGGAGAUAGGCCACCGUCACCGCCUCUCCGUGGCAUACCAUCAUCGCCGGUCGGGGCUCAUGUAGAGGCAGUCCACCGUCCUCUACAUUUGGUGACCCGGACAAAGAAGAUCACGUCCGGAGCAAUUCGGCCCUUCACCAUCCCAAAUUUCUGACCACGCCAUCGAGCAGCUCUACCUCCGGCACACACGGCCCACCUUCACUCCUACCGCACUCUUCGCUCUCUCUCACCUACGCUUCUCUCUUCGCUCAAGUCUUCUCACGCUUCUCACUGCCGGCCGCGACACUCGAGCCUUGCGCUCACCUGCCGGUUGCGGCAGUCGCGGCAGCCGCCGCCUCGGCACGCUUAAGCCCGUCUCGGCACCUCACUCACUCCACCUGGGACUAUCGAGCUUCGGCUCCCGUGCCGGUCGCGGCACCCCAGGACCACGACACCGAGCGCCUCACUCUCUCUGCGACGGAUCGCUGUUCCCGUCCACACCUACCACAAGGAUGACUACCUACACACGGAUGCUGUUCCCGUCCUCAUCCCCUCUGAAACGCCGCCAACGUGUGCCGUGCCCCUGUUCGACCACACGUCACCACGUCUAUACGCCUACCACGGUCGCCCUUAACUCCAGCUCUUGCGAUGCGUCCGCAACGCAUCUGACGGCCGGGGGACCCCUGUAGCGGACGACGACAACGACGACAACGAUGGCCACGCGCGUGGAGCACCGGCUUCAGUUCCACCGGCGCGGCCAUGGAGAUAGGCCACCGUCACCGCCUCUCCGUGGCAUACCAUCAUCGCCGGUCGGGGCUCAUGUAGAGGCAGUCCACCGUCCUCUACACAGAUUGCCUCUCUGGUACCUGGAAAUCUACAGCCACUGCAGAACUCCUAUGACUCGUAUGCUUCAAGAAUAUUUGAUGUCAUUAUCAAUGGGACAAGUACAAAUGAGGUUCCUGUGGAGCGUCGGAUUGAUUCUGAGGCAUGUCUCAGCAGUGAAGGUCUGUGGAAUGAGGGCAGACAUGAACAAGACACCUCAACCUCAACAGGCCAGGCCACCACAGAAAUAUCUCAUUCUGAAAGUCUAGCCGCUACAGCAGGAGCACCAUGUCUACCAGGUGUCCCAGGGACAAGCAGGCAAGUGCACCACACCUCGUCACGUAGGAGGCCUGCACCACCUCGACGCUCUGUGAUGCAGCCAGCACAGAGAUCUGCAUUGUGGUACAAAAAACUGGCAAAAUCGAAAAUCACGCUAAACCAGAAGAGGUUGGACGUAGCAAAGCUCGAGGAAUCCAUAGCUAAGGAAAAAUUGAUUCACGCACAGAUGGACACCGAGUACAAGGCUUUACUCCUUGAGUCAGCUCAGCUGGAUUUGGAAAUAAAACGAAGAAAAUUAAAUACAUGAGUGUGGGAACACACAAUGGCUAUAUCCUCUACGACAAUGCAUUUAUUGCUGCAAAAUCACAUUGAAUACCUUAGGACAAGAAACUUCAGAAGAGUGAGUGAGAGAACAUGAAGGGCUCACUGACACAAUUCCCUCUGCGGCUUAUGUCUGUGAGCUUCCACAAGAGACUUUUUGCCCGCUCCAAAAAUUAUCAGAUUACAGUCAACCCUCGAUUUAUGAACACCCUCGGUUCCCGGAAAAAUCGUUCAUAAAUCGAGGGAUUCAUGAAUAGAAAAUUCCGCUAAGUCAGUACUAUCGAGCUGACGAAACAGUAUUUGCGAGUUGGGACUGUGUUUAUAAUGCAGUAUAUUGUGUAAUUUUGCUUUCGACCAUGCCUUCUGCUGUACACUUGGUCAUCCCUGAUGCGUCCCAGGGAAACCCAUUUAUUCGGAUUUCGAGGGGUUAAAACCAAGGGUGCAAUAUCUGGAAAAAGAUUUGUCCGUUCCGGUGUCAUUCAUAAGACAACGGAAUAAUCCCUUUGAAGGUUUCUGUUGACACCGGAACGAUCCGUUUAUAAAUUGAGGGCAAAAACGCUAGGCAACUCCUAGUUGGUUCCCAGAAAUUCCAUUCGUUAUUCGAAUAUCGAGGUUCAUAAAACGAGGGAAAAAUGCAUGUAAAAUGUUUGGUUCCUCGUGCUCCUGUUCAUAAAACAAGGGAAUUCACAAAUCGAAGGUUCAUAAAUCGAGGGGUUGACUGUAUAACCAAAAUGUCGAUUCCAGUGUUACCAGUUCUGAACUCACAAAGCAUCCAGGAAUGCCAAAAUUUUAGGGAAGACCUAAGA
Molecule: long non-coding RNA, 2255 nt
Organism: Ornithodoros turicata
Lineage: Eukaryota; Metazoa; Arthropoda; Arachnida; Ixodida; Argasidae
Exons: 3
Source: RefSeq, a predicted model, not a curated record